Momordica charantia (bitter melon) is the source of this 2068-nucleotide non-coding RNA. The record is from RefSeq and is a predicted model, not a curated record. Lineage: Eukaryota; Viridiplantae; Streptophyta; Magnoliopsida; Cucurbitales; Cucurbitaceae.
UUGUUGUGAGUAAAUUUUUUCGUCGAGUAACCAUUUUGCAGAUGAAAUCUGUAGCUACGACGACGAAUUUAUGCGUCACGGAAACUUAAAAUUAUUCCCUAUAAUAUUAGGGUCUCUUUUUGUUUUGCGCCGCACACACCCACCCCUCCUCCCUCACUUCAACCCUCAACGUACCCACCUCUCUUUCACGCUCGGACUCUCAACCUCGGUGAUGACACCCACCCCUCUCUUUGGCUCUCAAUGUCGACCCUCCUUCCUCCGUAUUUUAACACAACACCUUUGUCUCCGUUUUUUACUUUCCCCUACGUAUGCCCUUCUCUCACAUUCUUCUUCAUGCAUGUCUCUCUCUCAAAUAUGAGAUCUCUUCUUUUUCAGCCCCUUAGGGUAUCAGAGCUUCGUCGCAAGACUUCGAUCUUUACAAAUUUCCCUAAAUCUAAGGAGAUUAUCUUCUCUUCUCUUCUUUAGUCUUGAUUUUUGUUUUGGUUCAUAAUCACGAUGGAUUUAUCUGAGAAUGUUGGAAGUCAAACGAAUCAGGCUAUUAAUCUAGAAAACAAAAUUUAUACAGUGAACUUGAAUGAUGAUAAUUUCCUCCAUUGGAAAUUUCAAGUCCUAACGGCACUCGAAGGUUAUGGUCUUGAAUCACACAUUGAUAACUCGCCUAAACCUCCUUCUCAAUUUCUCGAGGUUAGUAAUGAUUCUUCAAUUACAGCAAAGCCUAAUCCUUAUUUUAUCAAAUAGAAGAAACAGGAUAAGUUGAUUUUCUCGUGGUUGCUUGGAUCCAUGAUUGAGGACAUUUUAGAACAUAUGUUACAUUGCCAAUCAACAAGAGAUAUAUGGAGUUGUUUGCUUCAAAUUUACACCUCUCACAAUCUUGCUUGGGUAAUGAGAAUUAAGUCAAAAUUGCAUAAUUUAAAAAAGGGUGGUUCUUCUCUAAAGGAACAUUUUUUUCAAAUUAAAAAGUGUGUUGAUGCUCUUGCUUCAGUCGGCAAACAAGUUUCUCCUGUGAAGAUCACAUUGUGUAUAUUUUGUCUGGUCUUGGAUCUGAAUUUGAGGCUAUGGUUUCGGUAAUUUCAGCUAAGUCUGGUCCACAAUCUGUUCAAGAAGUGAUGGCUCUACUUCUUACACAAGAAAAUAGGAAUGAGAGCAAGUUACAAUUGGUGAACUCUGAUGGUUCUUCCCCUUCAGCACAUGUUGCUAUACAUACUAUCCACUCUGGAAAAGAAAAUGAAAUUCAGCACCAUCCACAUGCAUAUCAAUCUAGUUCAGGCACUAAUAAUUGAGGGUCGCAAUGGUCGUGGAGGAAAGUUCUGGAACAAUAGAAAAAUACAGUGCCAACUUUGUGGCAAGUUUGGUCACAACCUCUAAAAUGUUACCCUCGGUUUGAUCCACGCUUUCAAGGUCCCAACAAUGGUGCUAACUUCUUCAGUUCAACACCUCCGGCUUCCACCUUCAGUCAUGGACAUCCUCAAAUGUCUGCUUUACUCACUGCCCCAUAUAUCAAUCGAGACAGUAAUUGGUACCCGGAUUCUGGUGCAACCAACCAUCUUACAAACAACUUCAAUAAUCUGUCUGUAGGCACAGAAUAUCAUGGAGCUAACCAGGUUCAAGUCGGUAAUGGUGCAGGUUUGCCAAUCUCUCAUUCUGGUCACUCUUCGUUUAUCACACCCUCAAAUCAUGUUCUUCACUUAAACAAUCUCCUUCAUGUUCCUCAAAUAACCAAAAACUUGAUUAGUGUGAGUCAAUUUGCUAGAGAUAACUCUUAUCUUUUUUGAAUUUCACCCUCUUUGUUGUUAUGUGAAGGAUUCAAUCACUGGCAAGGUGCUUCUUCAAGGAACUCUACAUGACGGGUUGUACAGGUUCAAUCUUUCCACCUCCUCCGAUUUGUCUUGUGCUCGCAGUCCUUCUCAAGCUUUAACAACUACUAGUUCUCUUGUUCCUUCUAAUUCUUCUGUUGCUCCUAUGAUUUGUGGCAUAGGAGACUUGGACAUCCUGCCUUCCUCGUUGUUAAUAAAAUUUUGAGACUUUAUAAACCAUCUUUGCCAUCUAAUUUAAGUUUAAAAUUCUACAA